AGUCGAGCGAGAAAGGGGGGGCAACCCCCUGAGUAGAGCGGCGCACGGGUGAGUAACGCGUGGGUAACCUACCCCCAGGCGGGGGAUAACUACUCGAAAGGGUGGCUAAUACCGCAUGAGACCACGGGAUCUUCGGAUCCUGAGGCUAAAGAUCGCACCGGCUUGCCGGUGCUGUCACCAGGGGAUGGGCCCGCGUCCGAUUAGCUAGUUGGCGAGGUAAUGGCUCACCAAGGCUCCGAUCGGUAGCUGGUCUGAGAGGAUGAUCAGCCACACUGGAACUGAAACACGGUCCAGACUCCUACGGGAGGCAGCAGUGAGGAAUAUUGCGCAAUGGGGGAAACCCUGACGCAGCAACGCCGCGUGGGUGAAGAAGGCCUUCGGGUCGUAAAGCCCUUUCGGACGGGACGAACGCUCCGCGGUGACAAGCCGCGGAGUCUGACGGUACCGUAGGAAGAAGCACCGGCUAACUCCGUGCCAGCAGCCGCGGUAAUACGGAGGGUGCGAGCGUUGUUCGGAAUUACUGGGCGUAAAGCGCGUGUAGGCGGCCUUGCAAGUCAGGCGUGAAAGCCCUCGGCUUAACCGGGGAAGUGCGUCUGAAACUGCUUGGCUUGAGUACGGGAGAGGGAGGCGGAAUUCCCAGUGUAGAGGUGAAAUUCGUAGAUAUUGGGAGGAACACCGGUGGCGA
RNAcentral lists this ribosomal RNA (685 nucleotides) under uncultured Desulfobacterium sp. RNAcentral's name for it is "bacterial SSU rRNA". It matches the Rfam family "Bacterial small subunit ribosomal RNA", at positions 60 to 718 of the family's 1533-position model. Lineage: Bacteria; Pseudomonadati; Thermodesulfobacteriota; Desulfobacteria; Desulfobacterales; Desulfobacteriaceae. The record is from RNAcentral.